This 429-nucleotide ribosomal RNA is filed under the name Gemmatimonadota bacterium. RNAcentral describes it as "Gemmatimonadetes bacterium partial 16S ribosomal RNA". It matches the Rfam family "Bacterial small subunit ribosomal RNA", at positions 355 to 776 of the family's 1533-position model. The record is from RNAcentral. Lineage: Bacteria; Pseudomonadati; Gemmatimonadota.
UAGGGAAUCUUCGGCAAUGGACGAAAGUCUGACCGAGCAACGCCGCGUGAGUGAAGAAGGUUUUCGGAUCGUAAAACUCUGUUGUUAGAGAAGAACAAGGACGUUAGUAACUGAACGUCCCCUGACGGUAUCUAACCAGAAAGCCACGGCUAACUACGUGCCAGCAGCCGCGGUAAUACGUAGGUGGCAAGCGUUGUCCGGAUUUAUUGGGCGUAAAGCGAGCGCAGGCGGUUUCUUAAGUCUGAUGUGAAAGCCCCCGGCUCAACCGGGGAGGGUCAUUAGAAGCUGGGAGACUUGAGUGCAGAAGAGGAGAGUGGAAUUCCAUGUGUAGCGGUGAAAUGCGUGGAUAUAUGGAGGAACACCAGUGGCGAGGGCGGCUCUCUGGUCUGUAACUGACGCUGAGGCACGAAGGCGUGGGGAGCAAACAGG